RNAcentral lists this microRNA (17 nucleotides) under Corchorus olitorius. Its description in RNAcentral is "mmu-miR-19". RNAcentral also lists the same sequence under 2 other names. Lineage: Eukaryota; Viridiplantae; Streptophyta; Magnoliopsida; Malvales; Malvaceae. The record is from RNAcentral.
UUUGGUAGUAGUUAGAA